GAGAGUUUGAUUCUGGCUCAGGAUGAACGCUGGCGGCGUGCUUAACACAUGCAAGUCGAGCGAAGCAUUAAAACCGAUUUCUUCGGAAAGAAGUUUUGAUGACUGAGCGGCGGACGGGUGAGUAACGCGUGGGUGACCUGCCUCAUACAGGGGGAUAACAGACAGAAAUGUCUGCUAAUACCGCAUAAGCGCACAGUGCUGCAUGGCACAGUGUGAAAAACUCCGGUGGUAUGAGAUGGACCCGCGUCUGAUUAGCUAGUUGGUAAGGUAACGGCUUACCAAGGCGACGAUCAGUAGCCGGCCUGAGAGGGUGAACGGCCACAUUGGGACUGAGACACGGCCCAAACUCCUACGGGAGGCAGCAGUGGGGAAUAUUGCACAAUGGGGGAAACCCUGAUGCAGCGACGCCGCGUGAAGGAAGAAGUAUUUCGGUAUGUAAACUUCUAUCAGCAGGGAAGAAAAUGACGGUACCUGACUAAGAAGCCCCGGCUAA
This 493-nucleotide ribosomal RNA is filed under the name swine manure pit bacterium PPC92. Its description in RNAcentral is "bacterial SSU rRNA". It matches the Rfam family "Bacterial small subunit ribosomal RNA", at positions 7 to 500 of the family's 1533-position model. The record is from RNAcentral.